GGUCCAUGUAGACGUGCUCAUUGUUCUGGAUGACGCUGAGCCCAAAGAGGUGGCAGUCCUUCAGCCUCAGGAGGUCACACACCUGCACGAGGAGCUCGUGGCAUAGGAUCUUCACGUUGAUGAUGAUGUUGAGGGAGUCGUCGUUGGGGAGGAAGAUGCACACGCUGCGGCGGUCCUGCAUGACUCGGUUGUUGUGGAAGGGCAGCUUGUUCAUCGUGGGCAGCACGGCCGGGCUGGGCUGGGGGCGGUAGGCACCUCACCGGCAGGACGGGGCGGCCUUGGUCCCCAUGGGCGCCAUCCCUGCGGCUUCGGGGACCGCGCUCCGUGCCGAGCCGAGCCGUGCCGAACCGAGCCGUGCCGAGCCGAGCCGUGCCCAGCCCAACCCGCCGCCCCCGCCCCUUUCCGGGCCGCACCGCCCCGAGCGGCACCGGCACCGCCUCCAGCCCGCCUCGGCGCUGCGCCGGGAUAGGAGGGGGGCAGCGGGCAGCCCCGGGGGGGCGGACUGCCCCUGGGCCGUGGGGUGCUGUGCGGGAGGGAAUGCGGCCCCGGGGUCCUGGGGGUGAAGCUGAGCAUCGCCGGAGGGGGCAGCACGCAGCCCCAGCUGCCAGCGCUGUUUUUCGCAGUCCGUCCCGAGCCAUCCUCUUGGGAAGGGAUGCCCCGUGCCCAGGCUGUGUCCCCGUCACGCAGCCCUGCGUCUCUCCAGCACCCGUCUCAAACGCUCAGACCCUCUGUGCUGCCACUGUGCCACCGAGGGAGGUCCCAAAGAGCCACACACAGCCUUUGAGCGGGAUUUCCAUGCAGUCCAAGAGAACCACUGUGCUUCCGAGCGUACGGUGCCUGGGACUCAUAGAAUCAUGGAAUGGAUUAUAUCGGAGGGGACCUUAAAGAUCAUCUCGUUCCAACCCCCUGCUGCCGGCUGGUCGCCACCCAUCAGAUCAGGUUGCACAGUAACCCAUCCAAGCUGGUCUUGGGCACCUCCUUGGACAGAGAGCUCUAAGACACCAACCGUGCCACCAACACCCCCAGUGAGUGCUCAGGAACCAUCAGGACCAGAGCCCGAUCCUGUGGCAGCUCCCACUGAUGCCCCAGCAGCUGCACCAUGGACGCCCUAUGCACACAAAGGACACAACGUGCACCCGUGUGCUGCUCUCCAUAGGUGACCCGGGACCAGAAUAGCAGCAACAGCCCCAUAAAUUAGCAGCAAAGCAUCUCCACCGCACUCCUUCCUCCGAGGUGCCAUAUGGCGAGGUUGUUUUGGGAGGAGUUAUUUAUUCCUCACUUUUAAGCAUCUAUAGGCAUCCUUCGGGCUGACCUGCGAGGCCGCCUCUGCCCCCGCAAUCUCUGCAUGGCUGUGGGAGAGAACAGCCGCUCGUUCCCGGACCUAAAUAAAGAGCAGCUCUGUUGCAAACACCCCGACGCUCCUUCCUGAAAUCUGCUUCCAGCCCAAUGGAUCACACUGGCUAAUUACAUGAUGCGAGUGCACCGUGCUGGGAGCAUGGAAAAAUCCAGCCUGGCUUUUGGUGAGGGCUCGAAAUCCUUGGGUUCAACGAGGGCAAGUGUAGGGUCCUACACUUGGAGAGGAAUAUCCUCAUGCACCAGUCCAGGUUGGGGCUGAGCUGCUGGAGAGGAGCUCUGAGGAGAAGGACAUGGGGGUCCUGGUUGGCCAGUGGUUGACCAGCAGCUUACAAGUGGUUGACCAAUGGUUGGCCAACGGUUGACCAAAAGUUGGCCAACAGUUGACCAACGGUUGGCCCUGAGGAAGCAGUGUGCCCUGGCGGCCAAGAAGGCCAUGGUGCCCUGGGAUGGAUGGAGCACAGCUGGCAGG
RNAcentral lists this long non-coding RNA (1825 nucleotides) under Gallus gallus (chicken). Lineage: Eukaryota; Metazoa; Chordata; Aves; Galliformes; Phasianidae. The record is from RNAcentral.